GGGUGCGAUCAUACCAGCACUAAUGCACCGGAUCCCAUCAGGACUCCGAAGUUAAGCGUGCUUGGGCGAGAGUAGUACUAGGAUGGGUGACCCCCUGGGAAGUCCUCGUGUUGCACCCC
Molecule: non-coding RNA, 119 nt
Organism: Erythranthe guttata (spotted monkey flower)
Lineage: Eukaryota; Viridiplantae; Streptophyta; Magnoliopsida; Lamiales; Phrymaceae
Source: Rfam